GACCUCAAAUCAGGUAAGAAUACCCGCUGAACUUAAGCAUAUCAAUAAGCGGAGGAAAAGAAAAUAACAAUGAUUCCCUCAGUAACGGCGAGCGAAGAGGGAUAAGCUCAAAUUUUAAAUCUGCUGGGUUUUCACCUAACAGAGUUGUAUUUUGAAGAAACGUUUUCUGCGUCCAGGUUAGCCUAAGUCCUUUGGGAUAAGGUAUCAUGGAGGGUGAGAAUCCCGUUCAUGGUUAAUCUUAAGGAUGCUCUACGAUACGUUUUCCAAGAGUCGAGUUGUUUGGGAUUGCAGCUCAAAAUGGGAGGUAAAUUUCUCCUAAGGCUAAAUAUUGGCGAGAGACCGAUAGCGAACAAGUACCGUGAGGGAAAGAUGAAAAGAACUUUGAAAAGAGAGUUAAACAGUACGUGAAAUUGUUGAAAGGGAAACGAUUGAAGUCAGUCAUACCAACGGGAAAUCAACCUUUUGAGCUUUGUCUCGUGGGUUCGAAGAGUUUAAACGCCUUCGGGUUCGCGAGAUUGGGAUCUUCUGGUGUACUUUCUCGUACGGUUAGUCAACAUCGGUUUUGAAUGUCAUAAAAUGACUGGAGGAAUGUAGCUUCGAUCUCGUAUCGAAGUGUUAUAGCCUUUGGUAGAUGUGAUGUUUGAGACCGAGGAUUGCAACGGAUACCCUUUAAGGGCUAUUCGUCUGAUCUCUGAUACGUUGCCUUGACGUUGAAAGCUUGCUUAUGAUGUUAGGGUAUUACGGUCAAAAGGUUAGAACGGAUUAAAUUCGUUAAGGAUGUUGACGUAAUGACUUUAAACGACCCGUCUUGAAACACGGACCAAGGAGUCUAACAUAUAUGCGAGUGUUUGGGUGGUUAAACCCUUGCGCGUAAUGAAAGUGAUUUUGGUGAGAUCCGGGAAAAAU
This 906-nucleotide ribosomal RNA is filed under the name Funneliformis coronatus. Its description in RNAcentral is "LSU rRNA". It matches the Rfam family "Eukaryotic large subunit ribosomal RNA", at positions 1 to 752 of the family's 3401-position model. The record is from RNAcentral. Lineage: Eukaryota; Fungi; Glomeromycota; Glomeromycetes; Glomerales; Glomeraceae.